GAUGAACGCUGGCGGCGUUCCUAAUACAUGCAAGUCGAGCGAACGGACGAGAAGCUUGCUUCUCUGAUUUUAGCGGCGGACGGGUGAGUAAAACGUUAAUAACCUACCUAUAAGACUGGGAUAACUUCGUGAAACCGGAGCUACUACCGGAUAAUCUUUUGUACCCCAUGUUUCCAAAGUGAAAGUCGGUCUUUCUUUCUCUUAUAGAUGCAUCCGCACUCAAUUAGAUAGUUGGUAAGGUAACGGCUUACCAAGACGACGAGGCAUAGCAGACCUGAGAGGGUAAGCAGCGACACUGGAACUGAGAAACGGUACAGACUGAUAAGGGAGGAAGAAGUAGCGAAUAUUAAGCAAUGGGAGAAAGCUUGAAGAAAAGAGGCCGCGUGAGUGAAGAAGGACAACGGAGAGUAAAACUCUGUGAAAAGAGAAGAAAAUAGGAGUAAGUAACAAUGCACAGAUAGACGAUAAAGAAUCAGAAAGCAAAGGCUAACUAGGUG
This 497-nucleotide ribosomal RNA is filed under the name uncultured bacterium. Its description in RNAcentral is "partial 16S ribosomal RNA". It matches the Rfam family "Bacterial small subunit ribosomal RNA", at positions 28 to 507 of the family's 1533-position model. The record is from RNAcentral.